AUCGCUUCUCGGCCUUUUGGCUAAGAUCAAGUGUAAAAUUUGCAUUUAAAUAUUUAAAACCUAUAUUUUACCAUACAGAUUUUUA
RNAcentral lists this small nuclear RNA (85 nucleotides) under Cervus hanglu yarkandensis (Yarkand deer). Its description in RNAcentral is "U2 spliceosomal RNA (ENSCHYG00000012789.1)". It matches the Rfam family "U2 spliceosomal RNA", at positions 1 to 106 of the family's 192-position model. Rfam says of the family: U2 is a small nuclear RNA (snRNA) component of the spliceosome (involved in pre-mRNA splicing). Lineage: Eukaryota; Metazoa; Chordata; Mammalia; Artiodactyla; Cervidae. The record is from RNAcentral.